Molecule: RNase P RNA, 358 nt
Filed under: Candidatus Adiutrix sp.
Lineage: Bacteria; Pseudomonadati; Thermodesulfobacteriota; Desulfarculia; Candidatus Adiutricales; Candidatus Adiutricaceae
Description: RNase P RNA component class A
Rfam family: Bacterial RNase P class A
About the family: Ribonuclease P (RNase P) is a ubiquitous endoribonuclease, found in archaea, bacteria and eukarya as well as chloroplasts and mitochondria. Its best characterised activity is the generation of mature 5'-ends of tRNAs by cleaving the 5'-leader elements of precursor-tRNAs.
Source: RNAcentral
UUGGCGGGACGGAUGGCCGCCGGGCGCUUUACGCGCCGGGAGGAAAGUCCGGGCUCCACAGGGCAGGGCGCUGGGUAACGCCCAGCGGAGGCGACUCCGGGCAAGCGCAACAGAGAGUAGACCGCCGCCGGGCAACCGGCGGUAAGGGUGAAAGGGUGAGGUAAGAGCUCACCGGCCGGGCGGGCAACCGUCCGGGCCAGGCAGGCCCCGUCAGGAGCAAAACCAAAUAGGGCGGCGCGAUAAGACGGCCCGUCUUGCCGCCGGGUAGGUUGCUUGAGCCGUGGAGUAAUUCACGGCCUAGAUGAAUGGUCAUCACCCCGAAAGGGGUACAGAACCCGGCUUAUAGUUCCCCAGAUUC